GACGAACGCUGGCGGCGUGCUUAACACAUGCAAGUCGAACGGAAAGGCCCUGCUUUUGUGGGGGGCUCGAGUGGCGAACGGGUGAGUAUCACGUGAGUAACCUGCCAACGACUUUGGGCUAACUUCAGGACACUGGGGGUAAUGCCGGAUAAGGGCGCAUGCUGCCUGGUGGGGGUUGGCAAGUUUCGGCGGUUGGGGAUGGACUAGAGGCUUAUCAGCCUGUAGUUGGGGUAGUGGCCGACCAAGGCGUUGACGGGUAGCCGGCCUGAGAGGGUGACCGGCCGCAAUGGGACUGAGGUACGGCCCAGACGACUACGGGAGGCAGCAGUAGGGAAGAAUGCACAAUGGUCGGAAGCCGGAUGCAGCAACGCCGCGGGGUGGAGGUAGGCCGUCUAGGUGUAAUCCGCUUUCGCCUGUGAAGAAGCGGGAGUGACGGUAAUGGGUAAAGAAGCACCGGCUAACUACGUG
This 468-nucleotide ribosomal RNA is filed under the name uncultured bacterium. Its description in RNAcentral is "partial 16S ribosomal RNA". It matches the Rfam family "Bacterial small subunit ribosomal RNA", at positions 28 to 507 of the family's 1533-position model. The record is from RNAcentral.